Molecule: ribosomal RNA, 468 nt
Filed under: uncultured bacterium
Lineage: Bacteria
Description: partial 16S ribosomal RNA
Rfam family: Bacterial small subunit ribosomal RNA
Source: RNAcentral
GGACGAACGCUGGCGGCGUGCUUAACACAUGCAAGUCGAACGGAAAGGCCUCUUUCGGGGGGUACUCGAGUGGCGAACGGGUGAGUAACACGUGAGUAACCUGCCCUUGACUUUGGGAUAACUUCAGGAAACUGGGGCUAAUACCGGAUAGGAGCUCCUGCUGCAUGGUGGGGGUUGGAAAGUUUCGGCGGUUGGGGAUGGACUCGCGGCUUAUCAGCUUGUUGGUGGGGUAGUGGCUUACCAAGGCUUUGACGGGUAGCCGGCCUGAGAGGGUGACCGGCCACAUUGGGACUGAGAUACGGCCCAGACUCCUACGGGAGGCAGCAGUGGGGAAUAUUGCACAAUGGGUGGAAGCCUGAUGCAGCAACGCCGUGUGCGGGAUGACGACCUUCGGGUUGUAAACCGCUUUCGCUCAUGACGAAGCUUUGUGUGACGGUAGUGGGUAAAGAAGCACCGGCUAACUACGUG